Molecule: long non-coding RNA, 1051 nt
Organism: Acipenser ruthenus (sterlet)
Lineage: Eukaryota; Metazoa; Chordata; Actinopteri; Acipenseriformes; Acipenseridae
Exons: 2
Source: RefSeq, a predicted model, not a curated record
AACUAGCACUCCUGGCACGACGACACACCCUGCUGAACUUUCUCACGCAACCUGCCGGGAAACGGGACCUGCCCGUUCACUCAAAGCAGUGAGCACACACUUUACAGCACAGCUUGUGUCCCACAGAUAUGCUGUUUGUGAAUAAUUCAUGACCCUCGUCUGUCACUCAUGUAACAGGUGGGAACCAGGAAGUGUGAAUUGCUGGCAUUAUAAAUACCGGCACCAUAAGGGUGCAAGAGCGCCAGGUAGUUGAUGUGUAGCUGUGUUUUGGUGUUUCUGUGUUCCCGUGGUUCCCCCUGAGACGAGGGCGAGUCGGCGGAUAUACUUUUGGACGUCAGUAUUCCGGACUCUCCCGAGGUAAUGUAAACUGUGUUUUCAAUGCAAUUGCUGUGUUAGAGUUGUUGUGGUGGUGCGGCGUAACCAGGUUUCUUUUGUUAUUGUAGGAAGUGGAACGCCGCCAGCCACUGUUUCUGGUAGUUGUCUUUCCCUGUGUUUAUAUCUUGCACAUUGUUUUUGUUGUUAUUGUCCCUUUUGUUUUAGUUUGUGUAUACGGAUGUUUUUAUUUGUCUUUACAGUUUUAAUAGUAUCGUGCAGCGUUUAGCUAGCUUUUAGUGUGUGUGUCUAUAGGAGCUGCGAGGGAGAGCGUCGCUAUUGUAGCUGCUCUGCUCUACAGAGCAUUGAACGCUUAGUCAAGUUGGGUGCUGGGUUGUGUUUUCUUUUUGAAUUGUGCACUAUUACAUUUGGUGUGGUGAUUUUGUUUAUAGUUAUACUUUUAAUAUAUUUACUUUAAUAAUUCACAUGUGGUUUCUCUUUGUUUAUUUUAUCACAGGUGGUGUUUGACUGCCCUUCUGGGUUUUGGUGGGUGGAGCAGCCAAAUAUUUAUUAAUUGGAUGGACGUUUCUCUAUCUCUCCUCUAGGUGUCGCUAGGGACAAUAAAUAAGCAAUUAUUCUUUUGUGCAAGAUAUAUGGUUAGGAUUGUGUUUGUUUUAUUGCACUGCAGCAAUUGUUGAUUUUAGUGUUUAUAAUAAAGAUUUUGUUGAAAAGAGCACAA